RNAcentral lists this ribosomal RNA (553 nucleotides) under Escherichia coli. RNAcentral describes it as "partial 23S ribosomal RNA". It matches the Rfam family "Bacterial large subunit ribosomal RNA", at positions 678 to 1229 of the family's 2925-position model. The record is from RNAcentral. Lineage: Bacteria; Pseudomonadati; Pseudomonadota; Gammaproteobacteria; Enterobacterales; Enterobacteriaceae.
CGAGUCUUAACUGGGCGUUAAGUUGCAGGGUAUAGACCCGAAACCCGGUGAUCUAGCCAUGGGCAGGUUGAAGGUUGGGUAACACUAACUGGAGGACCGAACCGACUAAUGUUGAAAAAUUAGCGGAUGACUUGUGGCUGGGGGUGAAAGGCCAAUCAAACCGGGAGAUAGCUGGUUCUCCCCGAAAGCUAUUUAGGUAGCGCCUCGUGAAUUCAUCUCCGGGGGUAGAGCACUGUUUCGGCAAGGGGGUCAUCCCGACUUACCAACCCGAUGCAAACUGCGAAUACCGGAGAAUGUUAUCACGGGAGACACACGGCGGGUGCUAACGUCCGUCGUGAAGAGGGAAACAACCCAGACCGCCAGCUAAGGUCCCAAAGUCAUGGUUAAGUGGGAAACGAUGUGGGAAGGCCCAGACAGCCAGGAUGUUGGCUUAGAAGCAGCCAUCAUUUAAAGAAAGCGUAAUAGCUCACUGGUCGAGUCGGCCUGCGCGGAAGAUGUAACGGGGCUAAACCAUGCACCGAAGCUGCGGCAGCGACACUAUGUGUUGUUGGGU